Molecule: ribosomal RNA, 468 nt
Filed under: uncultured bacterium
Lineage: Bacteria
Description: partial 16S ribosomal RNA
Rfam family: Bacterial small subunit ribosomal RNA
Source: RNAcentral
GACGAACGCUGGCGGCGUGCUUAACACAUGCAAGUCGAACGGAAAGGCCCUGCUUUUGUGGGGUGCUCGAGUGGCGAACGGGUGAGUAACACGUGAGUAACCUGCCCUUGACUUUGGGAUAACUUCAGGAAACUGGGGCUAAUACCUGAUAGGAGCUCCUGCUUCAUGGUGGGGGUUGGAAAUUUUCGGCGGUUGGGGAUGGACUCGCGGCUUAUCAGCUUGUUGGUGGGGUAGUGGCUUACCAAGGCUUUGACGGGUAGCCGGCCUGAGAGGGUGACCGGCCACAUUGGGACUGAGAUACGGCCCAGACUCCUACGGGAGGCAGCAGUGGGGAAUAUUGCACAAUGGGCGGAAGCCUGAUGCAGCAACGCCGCGUGCGGGAUGACGGCCUUCGGGUUGUAAACCGCUUUCGCCUGUGACGAAGCGUGAGUGACGGUAAUGGGUAAAGAAGCACCGGCUAACUACGUG